GAUGAACGCUGGCGGCGUGCCUAAUACAUGCAAGUCGAGCGAACAGAUGAGGAGCUUGCUCCUCUGACGUUAGCGGCGGACGGGUGAGUAACACGUGGAUAACCUACCUAUAAGACUGGGAUAACUUCGGGAAACCGGAGCUAAUACCGGAUAAUAUAUUGAACCGCAUGGUUCAAUAGUGAAAGACGGUUUUGCUGUCACUUAUAGAUGGAUCCGCGCCGCAUUAGCUAGUUGGUAAGGUAACGGCUUACCAAGGCAACGAUGCGUAGCCGACCUGAGAGGGUGAUCGGCCACACUGGAACUGAGACACGGUCCAAACUCCUACGGGAGGCAGCAGUAGGGAAUCUUCCGCAAUGGGCGAAAGCGUGACGGAGCAACGCCGCGUGAGUGAUGAAGGUCUUCGGAUCGUAAAACUCUGUUAUUAGGGAAGAACAUAUGUGUAAGUAACUGUGCACAUCUUGACGGUACCUAAUCAGAAAGCCACGGCUAACUACGUG
RNAcentral lists this ribosomal RNA (497 nucleotides) under uncultured bacterium. RNAcentral describes it as "partial 16S ribosomal RNA". It matches the Rfam family "Bacterial small subunit ribosomal RNA", at positions 28 to 507 of the family's 1533-position model. The record is from RNAcentral.